This 460-nucleotide ribosomal RNA is filed under the name uncultured bacterium. Its description in RNAcentral is "partial 16S ribosomal RNA". It matches the Rfam family "Bacterial small subunit ribosomal RNA", at positions 338 to 795 of the family's 1533-position model. The record is from RNAcentral.
CCUACGGGUGGCUGCAGUGGGGAAUAUUGCUCAAUGGACGAAAGUCUGAACCAGCGACGUAGCGUGAAGGAUGGCUGCCCUCUGGGUGUUAAACUUCUUUUCUAUAGGACUAAGACAGGGUAUGCAUACCCUCUUGUAUGUACCAUAUGAAUACGUAUCGGCUAACUCCGUUCCAGCAGCCGCGCUAAUACGGAGGAUCCGAGUGUUGUCCGGAUUUAUUGGGUUUAGAGUGAGCGUAGGUGGAUUGUUAAGUCAGUUGUGAAAGUUUGCGGCUCAACCGUAACAUUGCAGUUGAACCUGGCAGUCUUGAGUACAGUAGAGGUGAGUGGAAUUCGUGGUGUAGCGGUGAAAUGUGUAGAUAUAACGAAGAACUCCGAUGGCGAAGGCAGCUCACUGGACUGCAACUGACACUGAUGCUCGAAAGUGUGGGUAGCAAACAGGAUUAGAUACCCUAGUAGUC